CUCACUGUGGAUAUAAACUAUAUAGAUAUGAUUUAAAUUUAUGUAGCUUGUCACAUAAUGCAAUUCUUUGCAUUCCUUCCUAACUAAUUAUAUAAUUUCCUUAAUUAAAUAAAUAUUAAUAAUAUAAUCCCCUCAAAAAGAACACAUGCAGGGAGGAAAAUUGCAGAAUGAAGAGCAGCUGCAGCUGCAGUGAAAGAAACAAAAGUAGCACAGAACAAAUUCUAAAUCUGAAAGAUUCUGAUUCAGAGAACACAUUAUUUGCACUUCUUCUCAAAUAGAAUGAUUACAAUUGAACUCAAAUGAAUUGCAAAAUUGAAAACAGUUUCUUAUGACAAGACACAACACAACUACUGUUAUCUGAAUCUCAUUCUUAAUGUUUUGGAGCAAUAAGGUAUUCUCCUAGGAAUAACAGAAAACCCCAUUUGUUGGUAGCUGAGAUUGAAGACAUCUGUAGCAGAAUUGUUGAAAAGAUUGGUGACAUCAUCAAGAGGCAACCUCUUAAGCUUCAGUGUACUGCGUUUCUUGUUCUUGAAAGAUAUGGACAUUAUGUGAGGAAUUGUGAUCUUACCCUUAUCCUUGUUGACAUUACUGUUACAAAACGGAGGAACAUUUUCCUUGUUUCCAUGGUUGGAAAUGUUGGUGGCAGUGUCAAAACUCUCCAUUUGUAACAAAUUAGAAAUACACAAAAAGGUUGUUGUUUAGGAGCAGAGACAAAGAAGAGCUGGGGUGAAUGGUGGUGGGUUGUGGGGUAUAUAUUCAUUGUUGAAUGAAACUAAGAAGAGGGAGAAAGUGAAAAUUUUGAGAAUUUUGGUUGAGGUAUGAAUGCUGCGAAAUGUGUAGAUGGCGCUUUUUGCAAUGUUGUGAAUUCAGGGUAGAGGGAAAAGAAAAAGGUCAGAGCGCCUAAAAGAAUCAGAAUUAUGAAUUAAGAAUAAAAUUUUAUCAUGGGCCAAAAGCC
This 955-nucleotide long non-coding RNA is filed under the name Vigna radiata. RNAcentral describes it as "long non-coding RNA (VRAD_LNC001859)". The record is from RNAcentral. Lineage: Eukaryota; Viridiplantae; Streptophyta; Magnoliopsida; Fabales; Fabaceae.